Molecule: ribosomal RNA, 253 nt
Filed under: uncultured bacterium
Lineage: Bacteria
Description: partial 16S ribosomal RNA
Rfam family: Bacterial small subunit ribosomal RNA
Source: RNAcentral
UACAGAGGGGGCAAGCGUUGUUCGGAAUUACUGGGCGUAAAGGGCGCGUAGGCGGCCCUGUCAGUCGGGUGUGAAAGCCCGGGGCUCAACCCCGGAACGGCACCCGAGACGGCAGGGCUGGAGACCGGGAGAGGAGGGUGGAAUAGCCAGUGUAGAGGUGAAAUUCGUAGAUAUUGGCUGGAACACCGGUGGCGAAAGCGGCUCUCUGGCCCGGUUCUGACGCUGAGGCGCGAAAGCGUGGGGAGCAAACAGG